This 102-nucleotide Y RNA is filed under the name Saimiri boliviensis boliviensis (Bolivian squirrel monkey). RNAcentral's name for it is "Y RNA (ENSSBOG00000004787.1)". It matches the Rfam family "Y RNA". From Rfam's summary of the family: Y RNAs are components of the Ro ribonucleoprotein particle (Ro RNP), in association with Ro60 and La proteins. The Y RNAs and Ro60 and La proteins are well conserved, but the function of the Ro RNP is not known. The record is from Rfam by way of RNAcentral. Lineage: Eukaryota; Metazoa; Chordata; Mammalia; Primates; Cebidae.
UGCUGCUCCGAGUGCAGUGGUGUUUACAACUAAUUGAUCACAACCAGUUACAGAUUUCUUUGUUCCUUCUCCACUCCCACUGCUUCACUUGACUAGCCUAAA